GCGGAUGGCCGGACGGCCGCGGGAGGACAACCUUCCGAGGAAAGUCCGGACUCCAUGAAGAAACGGUGCCGGGUAACGCCCGGGCGGGGCAACCCGACGGAAAGCGCCACAGAGAACAGACCGCCCCGGAUCCGUCCGGGGUCAGGGUGAAACGGUGGGGUAAGAGCCCACCGCGGAGGCGGCAACGUCUCCGGCAUGGCAAGCCCCACCGGGAGCAAUGCCGAAUAGGACCUCCGCGCCCGACACAGGGCAGGGCCGCUUCAGCCCGGGAGGUCGGGUUGGCAGCUAGAUCCCGUCCGCAAGGGCGGGAGCAGAUGAAUGGUCGUCGGCGGGGAUCCGUCCCCGACCACAGGAUCCGGCUUACAGGCCGUCCGCGCGA
This 379-nucleotide RNase P RNA is filed under the name Tropicimonas omnivorans. RNAcentral's name for it is "RNase P RNA component class A". It matches the Rfam family "Bacterial RNase P class A". Rfam says of the family: Ribonuclease P (RNase P) is a ubiquitous endoribonuclease, found in archaea, bacteria and eukarya as well as chloroplasts and mitochondria. The record is from RNAcentral. Lineage: Bacteria; Pseudomonadati; Pseudomonadota; Alphaproteobacteria; Rhodobacterales; Roseobacteraceae.